AUUUAAAUAGUUUAAUUAAAAUAUUGAUUUGUGGAGUCAAAGAUACAAUUAUGUUUUAAAUU
Molecule: transfer RNA, 62 nt
Filed under: Paratenetus tropicalis
Lineage: Eukaryota; Metazoa; Arthropoda; Insecta; Coleoptera; Tenebrionidae
Also listed under: 1 other name
Description: tRNA-His
Source: RNAcentral